UUCGAUGAUGAUUUGCCUAAUUGUGAGGUGUAGACAACUCCAAGUUCCUGCUUGCCAGGGAGAACCUACUUGGGUCCUACAUUCAAAUGAGUUAUAUGGGCACUUUCUGAGGU
Molecule: non-coding RNA, 113 nt
Organism: Zea mays
Lineage: Eukaryota; Viridiplantae; Streptophyta; Magnoliopsida; Poales; Poaceae
Source: Rfam